RNAcentral lists this ribosomal RNA (460 nucleotides) under uncultured bacterium. Its description in RNAcentral is "partial 16S ribosomal RNA". It matches the Rfam family "Bacterial small subunit ribosomal RNA", at positions 338 to 795 of the family's 1533-position model. The record is from RNAcentral.
CCUACGGGAGGCAGCAGUGAGGAAUAUUGGUCAAUGGGCGCAAGCCUGAACCAGCCAAGUCGCGUGAGGGAUGACGGUCCUAUGGAUUGUAAACCUCUUUUGUCGGGGAGCAAGGCCCGCCACGUGUGGCGGGAAGGAGAGUACCCGAAGAAAAAGCAUCGGCUAACUCCGUGCCAGCAGCCGCGGGAAUACGGAGGAUGCGAGCGUUAUCCGGAUUUAUUGGGGUAAAAGGGUGCGUAGGCGGAAGGUUAAGUCAGCGGUAAAAUGUCGGUGCUCAACACCGGCCUGCCGUUGAAACUGGUCUUCUUGAGUGAGCGAGAGGUAUGCGGAAUGCGUGGUGUAGCGGUGAAAUGCAUAGAUAUCACGCAGAACUCCGAUUGCGAAGGCAGCAUACCGGCGCUCAACUGACGCUGAGGCACGAAAGCGUGGGGAUCGAACAGGAUUAGAUACCCGGGUAGUC